This is a long non-coding RNA of Pygocentrus nattereri (red-bellied piranha), 1729 nucleotides long. The record is from Ensembl. NCBI's taxonomy places the organism in Eukaryota, Metazoa, Chordata, Actinopteri, Characiformes, Serrasalmidae.
CACAUGCCUUGACUGAUCACAUCUGCAUUUGGUAUGAGUGGAAGACCGUGACGUAUCUCCUUUAAUUCUGUAAACUUACUCUGUAUAAUACACUGUGAACAUGCUGCUAUUCUACCUGUGAGUGGUGUGGGCACACAAGUCCAUAAUGUUGAUGUAACGAAUAUAUACGACUAUAUGUAUGAAUUAUAUACUACAAUAAUAUAGCGUAGGUAUGAGUUGUACAAGGUUGUAGUAACAGGUGAGUAUGUAACUGAUUCAGUCUCUUACUGGAAGCAAGUAAUGUCCUAAUUCUGGAAACAGAUUGUUUGGAAAGUCUACACUAAAUCAGAGGUACGUAUAGGCCAAUCAGAAGAAAAACCAGGAUCGCAACUGAGCUUGGACAGUUACCCAAAAUGACUCUGCACUCUGUGGAUUGGAAGUGCGUUGACUCCCUUUUAAUAUAAAAAACAGGUAAGUAAAGAAAACCAACAAAACAAAAACAAAACUCAAUAUUAUUACUACUACCUGGGUAGAAAAUAAAUUAUUGACUUAAGUGUACCCUGUAGCAAGUCAUAAGUGUGAACUUAAAGUAAAGUGAUAACAGUUCACUAUUUAGAUAAUGAAUCCAAGCUUUCAAAUGACAAUACACAGUUUAUGUAUGUAUUUGUAUUAAUGGAUGUCUUUGUGUCACACAGCAUAUGGAACCUUUUGGAACGUCCAGUCCGUGGAGAGUGCAAAUUGGUGCUCCACCUUGUGGACAGGUGCUCUACAGUGUCCUUCACUGUUAAAGCCAUCUUUACCUCAGUCCAGCAGAACUGUCCUCCCCUCUGAAAUAUAAUGGUUCUCCCAUCGACUUGACAGUCUUCAUGGACACACAGCUGGGGUCAGGUGAGUCUGGCCUCUUCCUCUGAAUCAGACUAAAACAUUCCAGUAGGGAAAAUCAUGUUAAAUUCAUGCAGAGGACAAAUUGUGUAAUUUGGAUAUUUAGCUUUUUUAGCUAGAGUUUAAUGAACAUUGAUAAUGAUAAUAAAUAACAAAAACAGAGCUAAUUUACACGUUUAAGAUAAAACUGGAACUACAUCAUUAUCCACUGAACAUCCUGCUUUCUGGUAACAUCGUGCCUUCAAACUCUGGGAGGCUGGAGUGCAGGGCAGCUUUAUACGUAGUGUUAGCUUAGUAAUACUUUAGGCUUGCUUACUGUAAGAGAGUUAGAACGUGCACUAAUCCAAUAAUGAUGACCCUCAUAAUCAGACACUGUACUGAUUUCCUGAGUAAACUCACUGAGCUUCUCUGCACAUGGAGCUCUGUGGUGCUUCUGUGCUGUGAAGCCCUGUCUUUGGUCAUCUUGUGUGGAGUUAUACCAAACUGUGGUCAGGAAAGAAGUGAUUCCAGUGAUCCUGCAUAGCUGCCUGUUCUUUUAGCCACUCAGAGAAGUUUGAUUCAUUUUAUCGUUCAUAGUGAGUCAAACCUAAUUCUAACCACAUCAGCUCGUCUGCACAACCUGAAUUAAGUCCUGCAUGCAGGUUGAGAGAUGUUUUUGUGAAAAUGGUUUGAGAGACGAUUUAUUCCUGGUGUUUUUUAGCAAAAUGAACCUGGUUUAUCCAGUUUAAAGGGAAAGAUGCAAUAUUUAAACACCACACAUGCCUUGACUGAUCACAUCUGCAUUUGGGAUGAGUGGAAGACCGUGACGUAUCUCCUUUAAUUGCAAGCAAGCAAGCAAAAUGUAUUUAUACAGCACUUUUUACAACAG